GACGAACGCUGGCGGCGUGCUUAACACAUGCAAGUCGAACGGUGAAGCGCCUUCCUUUUUGGUGGGUGUGGAUGAGUGGCGAACGGGUGAGCAACACGUGAGUAACCUUCCCCCUUCUUCUGGAUAACCGCAUGAAAGUGUGGCUAAUACGGGAUAUUCUGGGUCUGUCGCAUGAUGGGUCUGGUUAAGAUAUUGGUUCGGUGGGGGCUGGGCUCGCGGCCUAUCAGCUUGUUGGUGGGGUGAUGGCCUACCAAGGCUGUGGCGGGUAGCCGGCCUGGGAGGGUGGCCGGUCAGAGUGGGGAGGAGGCACGGCCACGACUGGUAUGGGACGCAGCCGUGGGGCAUAUGGGACAAUGGGGUAGAGACUGAUGGAGCGAGGCCGCGUGAGUGAUGGAGCCCUGCGGGGUGUGAAGCUCUUCCGUUAGUGAAGCAGGGCUGCCUUGUUUGUGGGGGGAUUGACGGUACCGGGAUAAGAAGCGCCGGCUAACUACGUG
Molecule: ribosomal RNA, 494 nt
Filed under: uncultured bacterium
Lineage: Bacteria
Description: partial 16S ribosomal RNA
Rfam family: Bacterial small subunit ribosomal RNA
Source: RNAcentral